RNAcentral lists this ribosomal RNA (735 nucleotides) under uncultured eukaryote. RNAcentral's name for it is "SSU rRNA". It matches the Rfam family "Eukaryotic small subunit ribosomal RNA", at positions 672 to 1426 of the family's 1831-position model. The record is from RNAcentral.
CGCGUGCACUGGCUCGGCUGGGUCUUUCCUUCUGGAGAACCGCAUGCCCUUCACUGGGCGUGCCGGGGAACCAGGACUUUUACUCUGAACAAAUUAGAUCGCUUAAAGAAGGCCUAUGCUCGAAUACAUUAGCAUGGAAUAAUAGAAUAGGACGUGUGGUUCUAUUUUGUUGGUUUCUAGGACCGCCGUAAUGAUUAAUAGGGACAGUCGGGGGCAUCAGUAUUCAAUUGUCAGAGGUGAAAUUCUUGGAUUUAUUGAAGACUAGCUACUGCGAAAGCAUUUGCCAAGGAUGUUUUCAUUAAUCAGGAACGAAAGUUAGGGGGAUCGAAGACGAUCAGAUACCCGUCGUAGUCUUAACCAUAAACUAUGCCGGAUUAGGGAUCGGACCGGCGUUAUUUUUUGAACCCGUUCGGCACCUUACGAUAAAUCAAAAUGUUUGGGCUCCUGGGGGGAGUAUGGUCGCAAGGCUGAAACUUAAAGAAAUUGACGGAAGGGCACCACCAGGGGUGGAGCCUGCGGCUUAAUUUGACUCAACACGGGGAAACUCACCAGGUCCAGACACGAUGAGGAUUGACAGAUUGAGAGCUCUUUCUUGAUUUCGUGGGUGGUGGUGCAUGGCCGUUCUUAGUUGGUGGAGUGAUUUGUCUGCUUAAUUGCGAUAACGAACGAGACCUUAACCUGCUAAAUAGCCCGUAUUGCUUUGGCAGUACGCCGGCUUCUUAGAGGGACUAUCGG